UCAUUUAAGUCAAUCGAAUGAGUUGUCCAGAGACAAAACCAUUAGUCCCGGGACAAUUGUCCAAGGACGACCACACUUAUCCAUAGACAACCCAGGUUGUCCAUGGACAGAACCAGUUGUCUGGGGACGACCUCACUUGUCCACAGACAACUGAACUGGAAGUUAUUCAUUAUUUGUUUUCGAUCUUACUCCCGAUAAAGCAGCUUCCGAAAACCAUACAAGUAUAAAUACUAUUUCUAAUUUAUCUAUUAAUUUAAAGUUUAAACGUCCAUUGGUUGAAACCGUUAAUCUUUUAUGUAUGACCGAAAAUCGAUUAAAUGUUGAGAUUGAUGCAACCCGAUCUAUUUUUCUUGAAGCAUAGAAAACCUUUUCCCUAUGACGUAGAAUGAACUUUACUAUCGAUUAAUAUAUACUGAUUAAAUGAUUCGUAAAACAGAGAAACACUGUUCAGGAUGGAUACUAUACAUCUAUAUCGUUUAGCACUUUCGGACAAAGAAAUAGCUAAUGGUUUUGGUGGUGUAUUUCCUUCGGAUAUGUUACCCGCCAAAAAAGGAAAAUAUAAAUCGUUCAUAAUUAAUACCCAGGAAUCUAAUAAGAAAGGCAUGCAUUGGUUCGCAAUCUACUUCGAUAAUGAAAAUUGUUAUUUUUUUCGACAGUUAUGGAUUUAAACCGAAGAUUCCAUCUAUAAUUAAAUUUAUUCGGCAGAACAGUAAGAGACUUUAUUAUAAUAAACACGUUUAUCAAGGACCGUG
Molecule: long non-coding RNA, 752 nt
Filed under: Androctonus crassicauda
Lineage: Eukaryota; Metazoa; Arthropoda; Arachnida; Scorpiones; Buthidae
Source: RNAcentral